Molecule: transfer RNA, 72 nt
Filed under: Urocitellus parryii (Arctic ground squirrel)
Lineage: Eukaryota; Metazoa; Chordata; Mammalia; Rodentia; Sciuridae
Also listed under: 2 other names
Description: Spermophilus parryii (Arctic ground squirrel) tRNA
Rfam family: tRNA
About the family: Transfer RNA (tRNA) molecules are approximately 80 nucleotides in length. Their secondary structure includes four short double-helical elements and three loops (D, anti-codon, and T loops). Further hydrogen bonds mediate the characteristic L-shaped molecular structure. tRNAs have two regions of fundamental functional importance: the anti-codon, which is responsible for specific mRNA codon recognition, and the 3' end, to which the tRNAs corresponding amino acid is attached (by aminoacyl-tRNA synthetases). tRNAs cope with the degeneracy of the genetic code in two manners: having more than one tRNA (with a specific anti-codon) for a particular amino acid; and 'wobble' base-pairing, i.e. permitting non-standard base-pairing at the 3rd anti-codon position.
Source: Rfam by way of RNAcentral
GGGGGUGUAGCUUAAUGGUAGAGCACUUGCCUAGCAUGCAUAAGGCCCUGAGUUACAUACCCAGCACUGCAA